AAGACUAUAGACCUGCGGAGUACCUGCGGAAGGAUCAUUACAAGUAAUAAGUACCCAGUACCUAUUAUAAACCCAUCCGUGUAUCUUACCCGUUGCUUCCGUGGCGCGGCGCACCGCCCUGGCGGGGCUCCCCCACGGGAGGUACACACCAAAAACAUUGCAUUGCCAUGAUAUCUGUCUGAAAUGAAAACAACAAAAGUUAAAACUUUCAACAACGGAUCUCUAGAUCGGAAGAGCACA
This 240-nucleotide unclassified non-coding RNA is filed under the name soil metagenome. RNAcentral describes it as "partial contains 5.8S ribosomal RNA, internal transcribed spacer 2, and large subunit ribosomal RNA". The record is from RNAcentral.